UGUUUCCCAGGCUGGCCUGCGGAAGGAUCAUUACAGAGUCAUGCCAGAAGGGUAGACCUCCCACCCUUGUGUAUUAUUACUUUGUUGCUUUGGCGAGCUGCCUUCGGGCCUUGUAUGCUCGCCAGAGAAUACCAAAACUCUUUUUAUUAAUGUCGUCUGAGUACUAUAUAAUAGUUAAAACUUUCAACAACGGAUCUCUUGGUUCUGGCAUCGAUGAAGAACGCAGCGAAAUGCGAUAAGUAAUGUGAAUUGCAGAAUUCAGUGAAUCAUCGAAUCUUUGAACGCACAUUGCGCCCCUUGGUAUUCCGGGGGGCAUGCCUGUUCGAGCGUCAUUUCAACCCUCAAGCUUAGCUUGGUAUUGAGUCUAUGUCAGUAAUGGCAGGCUCUAAAAUCAGUGGCGGCGCCGCUGGGUCCUGAACGUAGUAAUAUCUCUCGUUACAGGUUCUCGGUGUGCUUCUGCCAAAACCCAAAUUUUUCUAUGGUGACCUCGGAUCAGGUAGGGACACAAGCCGAACCCAAGCAUAUCAAAAGCCGGGAGGAAA
This 542-nucleotide ribosomal RNA is filed under the name Botrytis cinerea. RNAcentral's name for it is "eukaryotic LSU rRNA". The stretch from base 179 to 332 matches the Rfam family "5.8S ribosomal RNA". The record is from RNAcentral. Lineage: Eukaryota; Fungi; Ascomycota; Leotiomycetes; Helotiales; Sclerotiniaceae.